CAGGGAUUGCCUCAGUAACGGCGAGUGAAGCGGCAAGAGCUCAAAUUUGAAAGCUGGCUUUACGGCCCGCGUUGUAAUUUGCAGAGGAUGCCUCGGGUGCGGUGCCGGUCUAAGUUCUCUGGAACGAGACGUCAUAGAGGGUGAGAAUCCCGUAUGUGACUGGUGGCCUGCGCCUGUGUGAGGCUCCUUCGACGAGUCGAGUUGUUUGGGAAUGCAGCUCCAAGCGGGUGGUGUACUUCAUCUAAAGCUAAAUAUUGGCCAAAGACCGAUAGCGCACAAGUAGAGUGAUCGAAAGAUGAAAAGCACUUUGGAAAGAGAGUUAAACAGUACGUGAAAUUGUUGAAAGGGAAGCGCUUGCAAUCAGACUUGCGCGGCGUCGAUCAGCCUGGGUUCUCCCUGGUGCACUCGGCGCCGCUCAGGCCAGCAUCAGUUUCGGCGGUUGGAUAAAGGCCUAGGGAACGUGGGUCGCCUCGGCGACCGUUAUAGCCCUAGGUGCCAUGCAGCCUGCCGGGACUGAGGACCGCGCUUCGGCUAGGAUGCUGGCGUAAUGGUUGUAAGCGACCCGUCUUGAAACACGGACCAAGGAGUCUAACAUUUAUGCGAGUAUUUGGGUGUAAAACCCAUAUGCGUAAUGAAAGUGAACGGAGGUGAGAACCCUUAAGGGCGCAUCAUCGACCGAUCCUGAUGUCUUCGGAUGGAUUUGAGUAAGAGCAUAACUGUUGGGACCCGAAAGAUGGUAGACCGGCAAGUUUAGCCAUCGGCAACGCGUAUUCGUACGUCGUUAGUCGGCGCCUUGCGCCGGCGACACGCCCAAGGUGCGGAGAGGACCUGGAUUUCCAGGUCAACCCGCAGCCCGCCCCCCUUACCCGGGGGUGGGUUCAGAGACUCAAUAGGCGUGGGUCUGGCAGCGGCCAGGCUUGAGAUAGAGCCCAGCCCAGCGGGUAACAGCUGGGACCAACUGGAACUAUGCCUGAAUAGGGUGAAGCCAGAGGAAACUCUGGUGGAGGCUCGCAGCGGUUCUGACGUGCAAAUCGAUCGUCAAAUUUGGGUAUAGGGGCGAAAGACUAAUCGAACCAUUGAACUUAGGCACCUAGCUGCUAGGUGGUUGAGAGGCCUACGGGCCUAGUCGCUCCGGCGGCUACACUGCAAGACUGCGAGGACCGCUCGAUAGGCGCAGGCUACCACAGCGGGCUCGAAAGGGCCCGCCACGGUCACAAAGCCUGGCGUCUGAGCCGAUCCGCAACCAACGCCUACCGCACCACCUGGGUUACCCGGGGGCUGCCAUGGCGCGGGCUCAUCGACUAGAUGGCUGUGGGUGGAGCAUGGCUCCGCCUAAGGGAUAGUCAGACCCCGGCGGCUACGCUGGGGUGAAUCG
RNAcentral lists this ribosomal RNA (1375 nucleotides) under Coccomyces crystalligerus. RNAcentral's name for it is "eukaryotic LSU rRNA". It matches the Rfam family "Eukaryotic large subunit ribosomal RNA", at positions 69 to 1435 of the family's 3401-position model. The record is from RNAcentral. Lineage: Eukaryota; Fungi; Ascomycota; Leotiomycetes; Rhytismatales; Rhytismataceae.